UUCCUCUGAAAAUCUCCUUGACGGGCUGAGAGACAGACUGAAUGGUGCUCAAGUGAACCCAAUCAGCGCUGUGGUAGGGAACGCAACUCUGAGGUGGGGUUAAACACACAAGUUAGAACUGGUUUGUCAAAGAGAAGAACUCGUGAGCUCAAGGAACCAAGAUCCAUGGGAACAGUGAGACUAAUCACAUCAGUUGUUAAGACGUUAAAUCAGUGCCUGUCAGGAGACCCAAUCUCACAACACUUCAACAAAAUGAGAUGAUGCCCACCAACACUGAUUAAGCUUGGUGCUUAUUGCAAGCAUGAUGGAUGCCAGCAUACAAAAGAGGUUCAAUCCAUGUUUGGCUGACUCCAAGGCAAGAACAUCAUGGCAGAAGGAAAUGGUGGAGCACAUCUCCUCAGUAAAUGGUGGCCCAGAAGCAACAAAACAGUGUCAGGUCAAGAAUGAGCCUCAGGAAACCCUGAGCCUUGCAUCUGCUGAGGAGGGCUGGCUUUGACGAAUGACUUUGGGUUACUCAGUCUUACAGAUCUCAUGGGGAAUGUUUAUUGUUGUUCAACGUGAAGAUCAAGAACUGGACUCCUCAUUUGGUAGCCACCAACAUCACCAUGAAGUUCCCACCUUUGUGACUUCAUCUUAUCUUCAGCACCUCCGAGAACCAUAUUUCUUCCCUUUGGUAUGAACUGCAUCAAGAAGAACCCAGAGAAAUUAUGAAUUGCUACUGCUGAGAUUAGGAUUGCAUCUUGUGCCCUGUCCCUCACUGGUUUCCUCUGUAGUGGUGAAGAUGACAUGUCCAAGACUACCAUCUCUCUACAGCAGUCAGGAAACACUGGAAGCCAACCAAAGUCAAAAUCAGGGG
Long non-coding RNA from Heterocephalus glaber (naked mole-rat), 856 nucleotides. The record is from Ensembl. NCBI's taxonomy places the organism in Eukaryota, Metazoa, Chordata, Mammalia, Rodentia, Bathyergidae.